AGAGAGGACCGUUGGGAGAAUGAGAAGGCUGCUGGAGAGGGAUAGCUCAAGGGGACAGCUUCAGGUCUGAGAUGACUCGAAGAAAGGGGUCAGGAGGAGACUGAAGGAGCAAGUCCAGGGGCUGCAGAGGCUUCCCAAGCCCUGGGAAGAGUGAGUCCUAAGAAGUGGAAUGGAGUCGUCCUGAUUUCAAGCAGCGGUUACAUGCCAGGCCUUCCGGGGACACGAAGGUGCCACGCUGGGUGGCUUUCCACAGGAAGCCGGUGGCGAGACUGGAGAGUCCCAGAGGAGGAGUCCCAUGCCCAGGUGUCGGAGCGCGGGCAUCGAUCUCGGCUGGAGGAGGAGAGUCCCCUCGGUCCCCGCACCGCAGGCAGCCCGCCCCACGUCCCCAGCCAUCCCUUGCCAUGGAACAAAAGCAGACACAGACUCCAGGACCAAGGAGAGGCUUAAUGGAGGAAAAAUGAGGACUCCUGGGGGCUCCGGUGAUUCGUCGUUUCCAGAGGCUGA
Mustela lutreola (European mink) is the source of this 504-nucleotide long non-coding RNA. RefSeq lists it as uncharacterized. Lineage: Eukaryota; Metazoa; Chordata; Mammalia; Carnivora; Mustelidae. The transcript is spliced from 3 exons. The record is from RefSeq and is a predicted model, not a curated record.